CUACGGGGGGCUCCAGUGGGGAAUAUUGCGCAAUGGGCGAAAGCCUGACGCAGCAACGCCGUGUGGGGGAUGAAGGUCUUCGGAUUGUAAACCUCUGUCAGGGGGGAAGAAAUGGUAGUUGUCCAAUAGGCAGCUGCCUUGACGGUACCUCCAGAGGAAGCACCGGCUAACUCCGUGCCAGCAGCCGCGGUAAUACGGAGGGUGCAAGCGUUAUUCGGAAUCACUGGGCGUAAAGCGUACGUAGGCUGUCUGGUAAGUCAGAUGUGAAAGCCCACGGCUCAACCGUGGAAUUGCAUUUGAAACUGCUGGACUGGAAUCCGGGAGAGGGUGGCGGAAUUCCUGGUGUAGGAGUGAAAUCCGUAGAUAUCAGGAGGAACACCGGUGGCGAAGGCGGCCACCUGGUCCGGUAUUGACGCUGAGGUACGAAAGCGUGGGUAGCAAACAGGAUUAGAUACCCCAGUAGUC
Molecule: ribosomal RNA, 465 nt
Filed under: uncultured bacterium
Lineage: Bacteria
Description: partial 16S ribosomal RNA
Rfam family: Bacterial small subunit ribosomal RNA
Source: RNAcentral